RNA transcript from Tupaia belangeri chinensis (Chinese tree shrew), 3290 nucleotides. It is a transcript of the gene named RAP1 GTPase activating protein, with no coding region annotated. The record is from RefSeq and is a predicted model, not a curated record. The transcript has 25 exons. NCBI's taxonomy places the organism in Eukaryota, Metazoa, Chordata, Mammalia, Scandentia, Tupaiidae.
ACAAGUCCUUCGUCCCACGCCGGAGUGUGUGGAAGAGUGAUGGGCAGAGCCAGCGCUUCCCUCAGGCGUUAGACCUGUCACGAGGGGACCUAGUUCCCCCCCACACGGCUUCACACCACCCUAAGAACACAGAUCUGUUUGAGAUGAUUGAAAAGAUGCAGGGAAGCAGGAUGGAUGAACAACGAUGCUCCUUCCCACCGCCCCUCAAAACAGAGGAGGACUACAUUCCCUACCCGAGCGUCCAUGAGGUCCUGGGGCGAGAAGGACCUUUCCCCCUCAUCCUGCUGCCCCAGUUUGGGGGCUACUGGAUUGAAGGCACUAACCACGAAGUCACCAGCAUCCCUGAGACAGAGCCGCUGCAGUCGCCCACCACCAAGGUGAAGCUCGAGUGCAACCCCACAGCCCGCAUCUACCGGAAGCACUUUCUCGGCAAGGAGCACUUCAAUUACUACUCCCUGGAUGGCGCCCUGGGCCACCUUGUCUUCUCACUCAAAUAUGAUGUCAUCGGGGACCAGGAGCACCUGCGGCUGCUGCUCAGGACCAAGUGUCGGACGUACCAUGAUGUCAUCCCCAUCUCCUGCCUCACUGAGUUCCCCAAUGUGGUUCAGAUGGCAAAGCUGGUGUGUGAGGACGUCAAUGUGGAUCGAUUCUAUCCUGUGCUCUACCCCAAGGCUUCCCGGCUCAUCGUGACCUUUGACGAGCACGUUAUCAGCAAUAACUUCAAGUUCGGAGUGAUUUACCAGAAGCUCGGGCAGACCUCCGAGGAAGAACUCUUCAGCACCAACGAGGAGAGCCCUGCCUUCGUCGAGUUCCUGGAGUUUCUUGGCCAGAAGGUCAAACUGCAGGACUUCAAAGGGUUCCGAGGAGGCCUGGACGUGACCCACGGGCAGACGGGGACCGAGUCUGUGUACUGCAACUUCCGCAACAAGGAGAUCAUGUUUCACGUGUCCACCAAGCUGCCUUACACAGAAGGGGACGCCCAGCAGUUGCAGCGGAAGCGGCACAUCGGGAAUGACAUCGUCGCCGUGGUCUUCCAGGAUGAGAACACGCCCUUUGUGCCCGACAUGAUUGCGUCCAACUUCCUGCAUGCCUACGUGGUGGUGCAGGCUGAGGGUGGGGUCCCCGAUGGGCCCCUCUACAAGGUCUCUGUCACCGCGAGAGACGACGUGCCCUUCUUUGGCCCCCCACUUCCGGACCCCGCUGUGUUCAGAAAGGGGCCCGAGUUCCAGGAAUUCUUGCUGACUAAGCUGAUCAAUGCCGAGUACGCCUGCUACAAGGCAGAGAAGUUUGCCAAACUGGAGGAGCGGACGAGGGCCGCCCUCUUGGAGACGCUCUAUGAGGAGCUGCACAUCCACAGCCAGUCGAUGAUGGGCUUGGGCGGUGACGAGGACAAGAUGGAGAAUGGCGGCGGCGGAGGCGGCUUCUUCGAGUCUUUCAAGCGAGUCAUCCGGAGCCGCAGCCAGUCCAUGGACGCCAUGGGGCUGAGUAACAAGAAGCCCAGCACCGUGUCCACCAGCCACAGUGGAAGCUUCGCACCCAACAACCCCGACCUGGCCAAGGCGGCGGGAAUAUCAUUGCUUAUUCCCGGGAAAAGCGCGAGUAGAUUCGGACGCCGGGGCAGUGCCAUAGGCAUAGGAACCGUGGAAGAGUCACUGAUUGUCCCUGGGAAGAGCCCCACGAGGAAGAAGUCAGGCCCGUUCGGCUCCCGCCGCAGCAGCGCCAUCGGCAUCGAGAAUAUACAGGAGGUGCAGGAGAAGAGGCCCAGUGCUGAGUCCCCCCGCUGCCCCCGUGUGCCCCGCAGGGAGAGCCCCCCGGCUGGCCAGAAGACCCCAGACAGCGGGCACGUCUCGCAGGAGCCCAAGUCGGAGAACUCAUCUACUCAGAGCUCCCCAGAGAUGCCCACCACCAAGAACAGGUUGGGCUCAAGAGCGGAGACAGCAGCCCAGAGGGCGGAAGCGCUGAAGGACUUCUCGCGCUCUUCAUCCAGUGCCAGCAGCUUCGCCAGCGUGGUGGAGGAGACGGAGGGUGUGGACGGGGAGGACACAGGCCUGGAGAGCGUGUCGUCUUCAGGGACGCCCCAUAAGCGGGACUCGUUGGUCUACAGCACGUGGCUGGAAGACAGCGUCAGCACGACCAGUGGGGGCAGCUCCCCAGUGAGGUGGCUCCCUCCUGCCCCCCUCCCCAGGCCCCUCGCGGUCACCCCACCCAGACGCCGCCAAGUCGGGGGACCCUGCGUGUCCCGAGAUCAAGAUCCAGCUGGAAGCAUCUGAGCAGCACACGUCCCAGCUGGGCUGUUAGCCAGACUGCCCUCUGGUGACGUGGAACAGACAAGGCCGCAGAAGCACAAGAAGAUGCUGUGUCGAGUCUAGACGGCCCUCAGCCCCGUGGCCCACGCAGCCACGGCCACCCCAGCCUCCCCCUUGGCCCACGUCCGGGCUAUCUCUGCAGGGCGGAGUCGUCCAGACCUGGGAGCGGGGAGGCUGCUGGCAUCGUCCCCACCCCCCAGGCUGGGGGUCUGGCUGGGCAUGGGUUGAUGGUUGAAGCAGGGCGGCAGGCCCGGCUUGCCCCCACCUGGGCCUCCAUCACCCCGGGCACUCCUCUGGACUCGGGGAGCAGGGGGUACUGGGAUUGCUUAGUGAGUGCGGCGCCCACCACGGAGGCUGCAGGAGGUGGGCUGUGGUGGGGUGAAUCCUGGGCUGGGAGUCCUGAGCCCUGGGUUCCCAUGUGAAUUCUGCUGUGUGACCAGGCAAGUCACCGUCCGUCUCUGGGCAUCUCUGCUACAGACAGACGAGGUUACUUGUAGGUCACUGGAGGCGAUUCCAUAUACCUGCCGGGGGACUGUCCCCCAGGGACGUCCCAUCACUACCCUGCUUCUUGAGGCUGCUGGGGCCCCAGGUGGGCUGAGGGGCAGGGAGCUGGCUGUGCCGUGGCCCCCCUAGGACCCUCAAGCUCUACCACAGAUCUGCCAAGGCCCUGUCCACUGCCUACACGUGACAGACAAGUCCCCUUAGGGGAAGGGGUCUGGCCGGCUCCUCAGCCAGCAUCCAGCUUAACCCCUGCCAUCCCAUGCUCCCGGACACUCCAGGCUGAGGGGUCCCAGCCGGCCUCCCACCACCGAUGGGAGGCAGCCAGGCACAGCUGUGUCCAUGUCCUUGUGUGUGUCUGUCACACUUUUUAGGCACCACGCCAAAGGCCAGCCUUCUGGCCCCAGCACCCAUUUUGAAAGCCCCUGUGGCCGUGUGUAUGUCGGUAACAGUUGUACAAAAUAAAUUCUAUUUAUCGCUAUUGUA